AUUGGACCUGCAUUAAUCCCUGUAUUUGUUUCUUUUUUCCUAUCUCUCUGGUUCUCUUGCUGUGGGAUUCCUUCUAUAGAAAGUACCAAAAAUCCAGAGGAGGAAGACAUUGCUAUCGAGGAUGAUGGAGAUCUUUCACCAGCAGAUGCAGAAGAUGAUGAAUGACAACUGCCAUAUCCUAUCUGGCCAUGUAGAGUUCACUUGUUUGUAGCUCAAUGCUGUAUGGCUGAAAUCUGUUUAAUUGUUUAGCGGGAUAGGACUUCCAAUUUCUUCACCUGACUGUGGAAAGAAAACCAACAAAGAUUUUGCAUCCUGUUCAGAAUGUGACGCAAUUAGAUCAUGGGAAGGAAAUACUUUAUGAAGCUCUUUAGGCUGGUAUCUGAUCUCCAUCUCAGAUACAAAUUCAGAAUCUCUGUAAAGGAUCGGGAUUACACAACGUUAGAGCCAGUUUAUACAAAUUGGGUUAGCAACUUGAAUGGAGGAUGAUACAAGUUUACUAUUUAAUGGUAAUUAACUGUAAAUUGUCACUUGAUAAAUUUGUGUAGAUUAAGUGGCAAUCAUAAUUUUUUUAAAACAGAAUGACAGCAAAAUAACAAUGGCAAAGAGUGCUGAGGUCAUAACCAGUGCUGAAACUCAUUACAGAAGAAGCAAAUGAUCACUCACACAAACACUAAAUAUAUUUAUUCCGAAUUGGAAAAUGUAAUGAAAACAAAUUCUUAAGAGGCACAGGGAAUUAUCUGAGCAUCAUUCUCACUGGUUCUAAUGUUAUUUGGUUUGUGUUUAACACUUGCAAUUAUUCAUAAAAUCUUUCAAGUCCCUCAAUCAGUUUCAAGAUUGGUCACUCCCGGGUAUCAGUUAUUCCGUACAUAAAUUUUAAGCGGUCAUUAAUUAGACACCAAACUCACUCCUGGACAUCUAUUCUUCUGUAUAAAGACAUAUAAACGCAAUGGUUAGAUUUGAGUCUGCCACUUGUUCCUGAAUAUGCAAUACUCAACCUCUGAAACAAUUGUAUCUAAUGUGUGACUACCCCUUUUGGAGGUGUAGUUAUUCUGUCUCCAAUUAAUCCGCAAUGUACGAUGGUGACAUUCUGAUCAUUCUGGUAGGAGUGAGGAAGUAUUUGGGUAAUCUGGCUGUGGAUUUACCUAUUUAUGGCAAUUAGUUUGAAAUAAAAAUGCAUUCAAAACA
Molecule: long non-coding RNA, 1185 nt
Organism: Stegostoma tigrinum
Lineage: Eukaryota; Metazoa; Chordata; Chondrichthyes; Orectolobiformes; Stegostomatidae
Exons: 2
Source: RefSeq, a predicted model, not a curated record